AACGCUGGCGGCAGGCCUAACACAUGCAAGUCGAGCGGUAGCAGAGAGCUUGCUCUCGGGUGACGAGCGGCGGACGGGUGAGUAAUGUCUGGGAAACUCCUGAUGGAGGGGAUAACUACUGGAAACGGUAGCUAAUACCGCAUAACGUCGCAAGACCAAAGUGGGGGACCUUCGGGCCCAUGCCAUCAGAUGUGCCCAGAUGGGAUUAGCUGGUAGGUGGGGUAACGGCUCACCUAGGCGACGAUCCCUAGCUGGUCUGAGAGUGACCAGCCACACUGGAACUGAGACACGGUCCAGACUCCUACGGGAGGCAGCAGUGGGGAAUAUUGCACAAUGGGCGCAAGCCUGAGCAGCCAUGCCGCGUGUGUGAAGAAGGCCUUCGGGUUGUAAAGCACUUUCAGCGGGGAGGAAGGCGAUGAGGUUAAUAACCUCAUCGAUUGACGUUACCCGCAGAAGAAGCACCGGCUAACUCCGUGCCAGCAGCCGCGGUAAUACGGAGGGUGCAAGCGUUAAUCGGAAUUACUGGGCGUAAAGCGCACGCAGGCGGUCUGAAGUCGGAUGUGAAAUCCCCGGGCUCAACCUGGGAACUGCAUUCGAAACUGGCAGGCUAGAGUCUUGUAGAGGGGGGGAAUUCCAGGUGUAGCGGUGAAAUGCGUA
RNAcentral lists this ribosomal RNA (657 nucleotides) under uncultured Klebsiella sp. Its description in RNAcentral is "bacterial SSU rRNA". It matches the Rfam family "Bacterial small subunit ribosomal RNA", at positions 32 to 692 of the family's 1533-position model. Lineage: Bacteria; Pseudomonadati; Pseudomonadota; Gammaproteobacteria; Enterobacterales; Enterobacteriaceae. The record is from RNAcentral.